RNAcentral lists this ribosomal RNA (269 nucleotides) under uncultured prokaryote. RNAcentral's name for it is "partial 16S ribosomal RNA". It matches the Rfam family "Bacterial small subunit ribosomal RNA", at positions 524 to 792 of the family's 1533-position model. The record is from RNAcentral.
UACGGAUGAUCCGAGCGUUAUCCGGAUUUAUUGGGUUUAAAGGGUGCGCAGGCGGGAGAUUAAGUCGGCGGUGAAAUUUUGCAGCUCAACUGUAAAAGUGCCUUCGAAACUGGUUUCCUUGAGUGUAGAUGAAGUAGGCGGAAUUUGUGGUGUAGCGGUGAAAUGCAUAGAUAUCACGAGGAACUCCGAUUGCGCAGGCAGCUUACUAAACUACUACUGACGCUCAGGCACGAAGGCGUGGGGAUCAAACAGGAUUAGAUACCCCUGUA